GUCAGUUCAGAAAAGAUAUAGGAUAUAUUCAAAGCCAGUACACUGGAGGUUAUUUCUGUCAUGUAACUGCUCUUUAUUUCUAUAUAGAAUAUAUUUCUUGCAUCUGGAGUCUGGGUUUAAUCCUGGCUGAAAUGCUCUAUGGAGACGUUUACGUUGAGUCUUCAAAUCAGAUCAUUGAGAAGUGUUCACAGUUUGGUUCUCCAGAGUGCUGCCAGCUGUUAUCAUUGUGUCUGCAAAACUACAAGCAAGCUCUGUUUGAUGAAAUCCCGAACCACACCUGGUUUAGACAGAAACUGUCUAGUUCACAGGCUCCUGAAGACCCUGGAUCUUCUAGCUGAUCCAAAAAUAUCCUUUUUUAAAAAAUUAAGUUAAAAGUGCUUAAUCCCGCCCCAGACCCACCUCCACGUGCUCCCACCGCUCGACUCCAUCAGACC
Hemibagrus wyckioides is the source of this 434-nucleotide long non-coding RNA. RefSeq lists it as uncharacterized. The record is from RefSeq and is a predicted model, not a curated record. Lineage: Eukaryota; Metazoa; Chordata; Actinopteri; Siluriformes; Bagridae. The transcript has 3 exons.